This is a non-coding RNA of Nylanderia fulva, 1677 nucleotides long. NCBI's taxonomy places the organism in Eukaryota, Metazoa, Arthropoda, Insecta, Hymenoptera, Formicidae. The record is from RefSeq and is a predicted model, not a curated record.
UCUUUAAUUUAAUCUCGCUCGCCGACAAAUUCGCGACAGUCUGCGUCCGCCGUGCGAUUAGAGGGUUGCGUUAGGAAAGUAUAUUUAUAAUUUGAAUAAUUGUGCGAAUUAUAUAUUAUGUAAAAUCUGGAAAAUAGGAUUUAGGAAGAUUGCAUUUGGAGGCUUUCUUUUUUGUGUUUCGAUAAUACACGACUUCAAGAUUCUGGCGUUGCUUUUGAGGAAUUUUCCAUCUUGCUUCUUACAGUGAUAAUUAAAUAAUAUGGACAAACAGAAAGAGGAAAAAUUUCCCUCCACUCUAAUUAAUCGUACCUCGCAAGUAUCAAUCGGACUUUCGCCAUUCCUCAAGCGAUCCGCGACCUGUUUGGGAAUCAUCUGGUACAACAAUUCGUCGGUAGUACACGCACCCGAAGACGAUGCAGAAGGGAAAUAUCUCGAAGAGCACGCACGCCCCGAUCGGCAGGUGCUUCUCCUCGCGAGUCAUCGCCAGCGAGGCGAGGGUGAAGGCGCGAUUAUCGAAGAUGAACGACGGCGCUCGCAUCCUCGGGUAGGAGAACUUGAGGUACUCGUGGAGAUUGUCCAGGCCAUUGAGGAAAUCCCUCACGUGUCGUCCUAAGACCGAGAGCACGCGAUCGUAACCGUACUGACCGACGAAUCCUACGAAGUGCACGCCCAUCUGAUCGAAGAACUCCUUCUCCGUCACGCCAAGUACCUGAGGUUCUCCGGAUAAACUUGGUGAACGCUGAAGCUCGGCUGGUCCACGGACGCCUGUCUGCGAAUUUCCUCCCAUCUGUCCUCGCCGUAAACCUGCCUUAUAUAUUCGGCCAGAUUUUCCAAGAUUAGACCGUACAUGGUUCUCUUUGAACAAAUUCUAUACUGGAAACACGUAAAUUUUUACCAACACGAUCUCUCACGUGACGCUUUUAUAUGAGAUGAUGGCGGAUCCUUUUCAAGAGGGUACCUUUGUAUAAUCUGCAUUACGCAAACGUUAAAUGUGCACAAUCUCCUUCAUUUUUAACGAUACUUUGAGGAUGCUCAUCGCGAGUCUCGAUCAUCGAUGAUUACUGACCUUGCUUAUUAAAAGGACGGGACCUGAUACGCAUAUGUGUGUGUGCGCAUAUGUCCGUUUAGCCCUCUGAAUUAAAAUCAACUUCCCAUAUGGUUAACACACCCCGAUAUCUUCGUUGGCUUCUCUCGAAACAACAAACGCACUCUUCCAAGCUUUUCCUUUGCGGAAGCUGCGGCGGAACUUCAGAGAUGCAACGGCGGAAGAAGGGGCGGAUUACGGGUCACCGGAAAAUUAAUACCGUGAUAAUAAGCCUCCCUCAUCCUCCAUUCGCUCCGCCGAGGAAAAGACGAGGGAUGAGCGAAGCUUCGGAGGAUGCAGCAGGUGUUAACAGAUGAUGGAAUCACGACACAUACGGUUCUACAACACGCGUUUCUCACAUUGACUCGGCACGGAUGUACUGUGUGUGUGCGAGAGACACUCGGGAUCAAUCUGCAAACGAGGAAGCACGUGCGCGAGUACCAAUCGUGAGUAUGCGCGCGGUUUUUCUCCCUCUAGGGCUUUAGGGGGUGGCAGAUGACAGAAUCGAACGGGGCUUUCAAGUACUAAUUGAAAGAUACACAGAGGAAAUUUUCUCGUAGAAUUUACCUUCUCUUUACCUUUUUCUCUUAGAA